AAGAGACGCGCACCAGUCAGACACGGCAAUCAUCGUGCGUACAAAACAGAUAAACUGGCAAGGAUUUCAGUUCAAUUUUGUGGCAAGUAUAACACACGUUAUAUCUAAUAUAUCUAGAGUACACCUACUACUAAUUCCAAACUUUGACUUUCAAACAUGCAACUACGACGUGUAGAAGAAUAAGGAUUGGGAAACAUUUCUGUGUCAUGUAUAUUUGUAGACAUUGACAAAUUCCAGACGUGACAUAUCAAUCAAAUCUGUUAUUUCUGUAGGUUUCAGACAUCUUUCUCACGUUUAAAAUCUGAAAUAUUUAAUAAAGAUGUUUUAGUGAAUUUUUUGCGGGAAAACUCUGUUCCAGGAUAAAUGGAAAAUAUUUUCAAAUUUUAUAUUACCCAAAUAUAUAUAUAUAUAUAUAUAUAUAUAUAUAUAUAUAUAUAUAUGUUUUAACAGGUAUAUUUAUGUAGUUUCAAAGAUUUAAUCGCUAUUUAAUUUUCUAUAACGUCAUCUAAUUAUACGUAUGAGUACAUGCACAGUUUCAAUUUUCAAAUCAACACGAUCACGCAUGUAAACAAAAUUGAUAAAAUUUGAUCAAUUUAGGAUCCCAUCCAUUAUGUCGGAAAUCAUUCUGUAAGAAAGAAAUGAACAUUGUUGUAUGCAACGUCGACUAAAGCUUAUAUCAAUCUACAGAAGCGACUAUAUAUAUAUAUUUCGAUGAAACUCGUGGCAGCUUGGAAAGAAAUACGUGUCUUGUUAGUUUAGUCAUGUGAAAAUAAUAAAGUAUAAGAAGCAUCGGACAAAGUACCAUUCUCGAAAUCCUCGAAUAUAUGUGAACCAGUGUCUCAUAUUUCAUUUCGAUCAGAUAAUCCGCACCGUGAUACAACAGCGAAGCGGUAAGCAAGUGCAUUUUGAACAAUAGUGUAAAUAAAUAGGCAACUAGUGCGCGAAUUGCGGACCGAGUACCUACCGUGAAUUCGCCAGUGACAGCGUCGAAUCCGACGUGCACGCGUUUUCUUCUUGCGCUCGUCGGAAUCCGGCUCCUUAGGUAAUGGACGCAUAUCCACUGGUAGAUUAGGCGCUGAUUCCCCCCUAGAAGACG
Molecule: long non-coding RNA, 1096 nt
Organism: Ooceraea biroi (clonal raider ant)
Lineage: Eukaryota; Metazoa; Arthropoda; Insecta; Hymenoptera; Formicidae
Source: RefSeq, a predicted model, not a curated record